GACGAACCGAGCGAACGUUGUUCGGAAUCACUGGGCUUAAAGGGCGCGUAGGCGGGUGCUCAAGUCCGGGGUGAAAUCCUCCAGCUCAACUGGAGAACUGCCUCGGAUACUGGGUGCCUCGAGGGUGGUAGGGGUAUGCGGAACUAUCGGUGGAGCGGUGAAAUGCGUAGAUAUCCAAAGGAACACCGGUGGCGAAAGCGGCGCGCUGGACCUCUUCUGACGCUGAGGCGCGAAAGCCAGGGGAGCAAACAGG
RNAcentral lists this ribosomal RNA (253 nucleotides) under uncultured bacterium. RNAcentral describes it as "partial 16S ribosomal RNA". It matches the Rfam family "Bacterial small subunit ribosomal RNA", at positions 524 to 776 of the family's 1533-position model. The record is from RNAcentral.